Molecule: long non-coding RNA, 685 nt
Filed under: Phasianus colchicus (ring-necked pheasant)
Lineage: Eukaryota; Metazoa; Chordata; Aves; Galliformes; Phasianidae
Description: lncRNA (ENSPCLG00000019608.1)
Source: RNAcentral
UGUGAUUUCAUUAGUUUGUUUCCAGAAUUUUUCUUUUGUGAUUUGUUAACUCCCAUGUUGGAUGGUUAUUUUGCUCAGAGAAACAUAUGUGGUUAUGAUGUAAGUCAUAUCUCUAUGUGUUUUGUUUUAUCAUUUCAUACAUCCUGUGCGGGCAUUAAUUCACCUGUGUAUUUCAAUUUUUUUUUUCUUCCAGAAAAUAACUCCCCUCACCAAGCCCCCAUGAGUACACUGGUUGUGUUUGCCCAAACUGGAAUUAUCAUUAAGAGGAAUGAGGAUCAUCGUGAAAAGAAAAAGUGAUGGAACACGAAUCCACAAAAAAUCCCUGCUACCACUGGGAUUAAAAAUAAUAAUAAUAAUCACACAGAAUAACAGGAAAACACCUUCUGAUUCAGACCCUGAAUCACAAGCAGACGCACAUCAGCUAGAAUGAUGAGUCAAAUUAAGCUCUGAAAGAUAAGAGAUCAGUUAUACUUGUGGCCAAACUUUCCUUCUGGAUACUAGGUAGGGACUUCCCCAUCAGUGUGUGUGUUCUUCCAUUUGAUCUUUUUGAGCUGUUUUAAUUUCUCUACUGAAUGAACAUGAAAAACAACUGUGUAAUUCCAUUUACCUCUAUAAUUUUUCUGGGACUGGAUGAUCAAAAUAUCUUUUGACCUGGAAUUUUUUUUUUUAUUAUUAUUAAAUUAUU